AACCUGCUGCUGGAUCAUUACCUUGUCUGACAACGACACACGUAAUGCUUUUGCCCCGUUGUGGCCGGAUGGUAAUCUUCUACCAGGUUGAGCAGAGUCCUUGACUAUCGGCACAUCGGGUGUAGAGGACAAGCCAGUUUGUUUGGAGCUGUCGCUGCUUCUGGCAUCCUGGCGAGUCUGUGGUCAUACUUCCUCUGCCGCUGAGGAAGGGGUACUGAGCUUUUGUCCUUCUCGGCUCUUACCUGGCCUCGACUACAGGCGAAAACGGCUGUUGCUGGAUCCUAUGUAACGCUGAGCGACUGUUGAAUAAAGUCCGUGGUCUGCAAUGAGGUGUUACGAUAGCCUUCUCCACAUGUCGCUGUGGAGGGGUAGGAUUAAUGAGUUCCAGAUUCGGUGCCGCCAGCAAAUCCUUUCUUUUUCACUUUUUUUUCUGAAAACAAAAAAUAUCUAGUCUUGCCGGUGGAUCACUUGGCUCGUAGGUCGAUAAAGAUCGCAGCCAAACGCGAUAGUUGGUGCGAACUGCAGAUAUUCUGAGCACUAAAGUAUCGAAUGCACAUUGCGCCUCGGGAGUCACAUCCCUUGGCACGUCUGGUUCAGGGUCGUUUUCACAAAAGCCGAAGACAAUCGGUUUGAACACUUGAUCAUAGGUCCCUGCCGCUGGAGACCGGGUGAUCAAGCGAGCAUUGCUCAUUCUUUGAGCGUCUAGUUCGCCGAAGGGCAAGGUCGGUGUUGAACAGAGCAUCCAGCCGAACCUGUCAGCCUGGGCGUUCCAGGGAAUCGCAAUAGCGACCUGAACUCAGUCGAGAUCACCCGCUGAACUUAAGCAUA
This 828-nucleotide ribosomal RNA is filed under the name Tylenchulus semipenetrans. RNAcentral's name for it is "eukaryotic LSU rRNA". The stretch from base 449 to 602 matches the Rfam family "5.8S ribosomal RNA". The record is from RNAcentral. Lineage: Eukaryota; Metazoa; Nematoda; Chromadorea; Rhabditida; Tylenchulidae.